ACAUUACAAAUGUUGUAUGCAUGCUGCAAUUUAUGCUAUCGUGAAUAUCAAAGGAGAAAAGACCAAAUAUGAGUGAGAUGUCUGUACAAAUUCAAAUGUUUUCAGUUCCAACAGUGAUUAUCAAUUAAUUUAAUGUUAUGACGAAACUGGCAAAUCAGAAAUGCAGAAUUCAAUUCUAUUAAUUAAUUAAUUAAUUAAUUAAUAUAAAAAAAUAAGAAUUGUCCCUUUAAUGACUUCAUUAAGGCAUUACCAACAUGCUGCAUGAUGUUGCCUUUGAUUGAUCUAAACCCAAAUACUGAGAGGUAUCUGAUAGUCAGUCAAAAUAUAUACUCACAAAGCAAAGCCAAAGACGCUCUCGUGGUGUGGCUCUUAAAAGAGCCUUUGGGGUGUAUGUAGCUGCUGUUGACAAAAGAGGGAAAAGGGAGAAAGGACCAAAUAUGAGUAAAAUAUGUCUGUACAAAUUCAAAUGUUUUCAGUUCCAUCAGUGAUUAUUGAUUAAUAAAUAUGUUAUGACGAAACUGGCAAAUCAGAGAUGCAGAAUUCCAUUCUAGUCUAUUAAUUAAUUUAUUUAAAGAAGUAUCCUUUUAAUGUCUUCAUUAAGAUUAUAACUUGCCACAUUAAGUUGCUUUAAUUGAUAUAUUGAUCAGUUAGCAUGUUAUGAUGAAUCUGGCAAAUCAGUAGGUUGACUUACAACAAUCAGAUGGCAAUCAACACUGAGAAAAAAGAGAGAGAAGAGAAUAAAUUAUUUGCAUGGUAUAAAUUCUCAAAGUUUCUCAAAGGCUCUGAUGAAUACAUAAUCCACAUUAAGAUGCAUUUAGAAUAAUAACAACAAUACUACUACUACUACUACUAAUAAUAAUAAUGAUAACUAUUAUUGUUAUUAUUGUUAUAGUUGAACAAAAUGAGAGAUGAUCUAUUUCAUUAUAGAGGGUUUAUGAGUCUCUCUCUCUCUCUUUCGCUCUCGGUGCCAGCGUGUGUGAGAGAGAGAGUGAGAGGGAGCUCACGCGCUCGCAGUCAAACCUGUGACAACGCAAUAUUUUCCAUACAAAUUAAAGAUAUUAUGAAGCAUAGUUGUAUAACUUAUCUAUUUUCAAUGAACGUUAUCAUGACAGAUAACUCAAACGAAAGAGCGUCUCUCAAACGGAGCGUAUUGGCUCCAUUAGCAAUGACGUCGACACACCGAUGUAACCAACGUCUUCUCACUGACGUCACUCACUUCUAAAACUUGUCUGCCGCCAUCUUGAGUAAGUUACCUGAUUCACGUCAGUCGCAAAGGAACUAAAGUUAGCUAGCUAUGCCUUCAAUAUGUUGUGCGGUGGGGUGCAACAACAAAAAAGGAGACCCCAAAAUAUUCUUUUACAGGUUACCUCAGGACGAAAAAAGACGCCAUCAACAGGGCAGACUGGACACCAACAGCAAACACUCGUCUGUGCAGUGCUCAUUUUUUCUGUGGUGAGUGGAUGUAAAUAACGUUAUAUUGUUAAUGAGCUAACGCUCGCUGUCGCGACCAGAUGAUUUAGCUACCCCUUGUGCUGACAUAUGCUAGAAAACAGCCAGAAGUUAUUGAUAGCCUAGCUGCUGUUUAAAAGUUUUAAAGAACACUUAACUUUCCUUUGUGUGGCAAGGGGGGCGUGAUAUAAAUUUAGCGAAGUCUAUGACGGGAGAUAGGAUCGGGAGACAGCUGUGGGUCAAGUGCAAAUGACCAACACCUGUGUCUUGUUUCAGUGUGUGGAGAGACCGCGCAUUAGGGACAGGGAUCGCUGUCAGAAUUUGAAUUUAAACUUUGUUGCUGCUGCGCUGUGUCGCUGUGCGCGACUUUGUUUCGUUGUUUCUUUUCGCAAAGAGACGGAAAAUCGUUGUUUGUGUGAGAUGUGGUACAUUUACUGGAAAAAAAGUCAAUUUUGUGUGAGAUGUGGUACAUUUACUGGAAGAAAGUCCAGUUUUUAUAAUAAUGUAAUGAGUUUCAUGAGUGAAAAAAACGGCUGUUAUUUUAAUAGAGAAAAACGAACUGUUCCCUCAGACCGUUUGCGAUUAUAAUUACUUAUUAUAAUUACAUUUCAUUACUUUCUUUCUUCAUAGUUUUAAAUGUAAUUUACUUUGUUGUCGGACCAUACUUUUAAAAAGUAAUUUAACGAAAUCGGUUAAGUAAAAAGUAAUUCACCUCAGGAAAACACAGUUGCUGGGACGUCACUCAAAGGGUACGUUAGGCAGGUGCGCGCGGUGGGCACAGACCCCAGCUUAUAUAGGCCCGCUGCCCGGUUUCGCGGGCUUGGCACGCGAUUAAUAACUUAAAUAUUGAGAGGGGAAAAAAAUAUUUAAAAAAAAAAAAUAUUUGUACAUUUAUAUAAUGACACACUGCGUUACCUUGGCAUUAAACGUCAAAAAAAAUUUCAAAAAAUUGUGGGGUUUUCUAAUACUGCAGCGUUUGGUUUUACUAUACUUUAUUCAAAGCAGUGGUGUUACCAAAAAUAUGUCAUAUACUUUUUUUCCCCUUCUUUUUCUUGUAGGUUUGAGAGUCCCACUUUGUUAAAUAUAAUUGAGCAACCAUAGGUGGCGAUAAGCACGCGAGCAGGCAUUGAGGCAAUGGAUGAAGAUGAGCCAGCUAGCUGCGCUGAACGCGAUCAUUGUUGAUGGUUGAGAGUGAGAUGUGCUUUGGAAAACCAUCAUUCUCUUCAAUGGCUUCACAAAAUUCCGACUGAAAAUUUACUGAACAAAGAGUGAAGUAGCAAAGUGUUCCUGCAAAGGCGACCUGUUACACAGCGGAUUCUCUGUAAACUGAUACCAAACAGUUGGAGUAUCCGGGAUCUGUUUUUAACUGAACAAGGCAUCGAUUUCUUCCAUUCUUCUACCAAUUUUUUUUUUCUGAACUGGAAAUCUUUUUUCUUCAACAUCUUCCUGAACUGAAUUGAAUUGUAUUCCACGACAAGAACAGAAAUUAAAUGGAAUUUAAGUACCACACAUUAUAAUUGUAUUUUCAUUUCAUGUACAGCAUAAAUUUUGUGUAUUGCUUGUCUGUCUAACAGUAAAGUGCUGACUGACGUCGGAAGUGCUGAGAACACACAUUAUAACUUCCUUCAACUGUCGGUCAUAGCGGGCUUGUGGGCAUCUUCUGAAAAAAAAAAAAUCUUAGAGAAAUGUUGCAAAAAAGUAUCCCAUAUAAUUUCAUUCUAGAAAGGCAUUUAUAUAAUAUAAUUGUAUGUAGUCUUACAAUUGAUUCCACUUAUGUUACAGUUAUCAGG
Molecule: long non-coding RNA, 3239 nt
Organism: Cyprinus carpio carpio
Lineage: Eukaryota; Metazoa; Chordata; Actinopteri; Cypriniformes; Cyprinidae
Source: Ensembl